GUUAUUUACAGAUACCAAUCGCAACUGAGGACCAAGAAAAGACAACAUUUACUUACCCCUAUGGGACGUUCGCAUACCGGAGGAUGCCAUUUGGUUUAUGCAAUGCAUCUGCCACUUUUUAGAGAUGUAUGAUGGCAAUCUUCCACGAUAUGAUUGAGGAGUCUAUGGAGAUUUUCAUGGACGACUUCUCAGUGUUUGGUAACUCUUUCUCACACUACUUGUCUAAUUUAAAGCGCAUGCUUGCACGAUGUGUUGAGGUAAAUUUAGUUCUUAAUUGGAAAAAAUGUCAUUUUAUGGUAAGAGAGGGUAUUGUGAUAGGGCACGAGAUUUCACAUGCGGGGAUGGAGGUAGAUAGAGCUAAGGUAGAGACCAUAUCGAAAUUGCCACCCCCUAGUUUUGUUAAGGCUGUUAGGAGCUUCCUCGGGCAUGCUGGCUUUUAUAGGAGAUUCAUUAAGGAUUUUUCUAAAAUAGUUAGGCCUCUUACUCAAUUGCUUGUUAAGGAUGUACCUUUUGUGUUUGAUUCAGAUUACUUAUAGGCUUUUGAGUUAUUAAAAAAGUUACUAACCACAGCUCCUAUCAUGGUUUCACUUGAUUGGGGGCUGCCCUUUGAACUAAUGUGCGAUGCUAGUGACUAUGCAGUUGCAGCUAUUCUUAAACAGCAGGUUGAGAAGAAGUUCUAGCCUAUCUAUUAUGCUAGCAAGACAUUGACAAACGCCCAAGAGCACUACACCACCACUGAGAAGGAGCUGUUAGAUGUGGUUUAUGCCUUUAACAAGUUCCGUUCAUACCUUGUGCUAUCUAAGACCAUCGUCUAUACGGACCAUUCGACAUUGAGGUACUUGUUCAGAAAGAAUGAUGCUAAACCAAGACUGAUUAGAUGGAUUCUACUCUUGCAGGAGUUUGACAUAGAAAUCAAGGAUAAAAAGGGCGCUGAGAACUUGGUAGCGGAUCACUUAUUGAGGUAUAUACCGAUUCCCCUUGGUUUUCGGAUUAUGCGAAUUAUUUGGUUGCGAGGGUCCUACCAAAAGUGAUUCAGCGAUGUGUAUAUGGGGAGGAAACUCUCAAAAUCCUUAAGCAUUGCCAUGAGGGACCAACUAGAAGCCAUCAAGCGACCAAUCAUACGGCUAGGAAGGUGUUGGAUGCGGGAUUCUACUGUCCUAGAAUCUUUCAGGAUGCGAGAACCUUUGUCUAGGUUUGCGAUGCAUGCCAGCGGUCAGGUAAUAUCUUUUCCCGUGAUGAGAUACCCCAGACUAGUAUACAAGUUGUUGAGAUUUUUGAUGUUUGGGGCAUCGACUUCAUGGGACCCUUUCCUUCUUCUUAUGGAAAUAAGUAUAUACUUGUGGCUGUUGAGUAUUUUUCUAAGUGGCUAGAAGCGCAAGCCUUCCCCACUGAUGAUGCCAAGGUAGUUGCUAGGUUCCACAAGAAAUUACUUACUAGGUUUGGUACACCUAAAGCAUUGAUUAGUGAUAGAGGGACCAAUUUUUAUAAUACCUAACUAGGGAAAGUACUUAAACGUUAUGGGAUCACACACCGGUUCUCUACACCCUAUUACCUACAAAUUAGUGGGUAAGUGGAGGUAACUAAUAGGAGUCUAAAACGCAUUCUAGAGAGAACCGUAGGGACUAGUAGGAAGGAUUAGGCUGCUAAGUUAGAUGAUGCACUAUGGGCUUUUAGAACAGCCUAUAGGACUUUUAUUUGCUUUAAACAGUAUAGGCUAGUUUAUGGUAAGAGAUGUCAUCUACCUGUUGAAUUGGAACACAGGGCCCUUUGGGCUUUGAAAUCAUGUAAUUUUAAUGUUGAUUCUGUAGGUAAAGAAAGACAAUGGCAGCUGAAUAAGUUAGAGGAGUGGUGUUAGCAAGCUUAUGACAACUCUAUAAUUUACAAAGCUAGGACGAAGAAGUGGCACGAUCAGUGACUGAAAGGCUCGAAAGGGUUCAAAGCUAGAGACAGGGUUCUCUUAUAUAACUCAUGUCUUUGGUUGUUUCCAAGUAAGUUGAAGAGUCGAUGGUCGGGACUGUUCGUAGUCAAGCAAGUCUUUCCAUAUGGCAUAAUGGAGUUGCAUCAUCCGAAGAAAGGAGACUUUAAAGUUAAUGGGAAUAGGCUGAAGCACUAUCACGAGAACUCAUAAGAAGUUGAGGAGCGAGUGAACAUAAUGCUUUUCCCGCAAUAGUAGUCCGGUGUUAAGUCCAGCUAAAUGACUCGAGAACCAAAAAGAAGCGCUUUUUGGGAGGCAUUCCUAUAUUUAGCUUUACAUUUUUUUAUUAGUCGUUUGCAUGUUUGAUGGUAGUUAGAACAUUUGCUUAAUGACUAAACUUAAUUGUUUGAAGCUAGGUUUUUAAUAACUUAAGUCGGAUUUUUGGUGAUUGGUGAAUAUUAGUUUCACUGUCGAUACAUUUUUACUUGAAUUAUAGCCUAAAUGUGUAUGUAUGUGUGUUGAAUGCAGGUAGGGAGUCGGGCAGUUCGAGAUGUCGAACUCGGAGGCUGGAUUUCAAUGGUUCACCACGGCUUCCGUGGGCAUCAUAGGUUGGAUCACUAGGCCAUGUUGAUCAGCACGGCUAGAGUCCUACCCGUGAUGAAUAUGCACGUAUAAGAGAUUGGAAAUUGGCUGCCCAUCACAGCUUCCAAAGGCACCAUGGGCGGCAACACCAGGCCGUGCUGAUCAGCACGGCCACGCCCUUACCCUUGGUGAACAUGCACAUGGAAGGCACUUUAAGCUUCAGCACGGGCUAAGUCGAGGCCAUGCUGACCAGCACGGUCAUGCCCUCGCCCGCGAUUAUAAAAGGAGGCCAUUUCAAACCUUUGACAAGUUUCCCUCUCUAAAAUUCUAAGGCAAUAUGAGGGACCGAGAUCAAUCCCGUUGCCAGCAACCACAAUGCGCCGCUAUUAGCAAGCGUUCGCGUGGCGAGGGAACUUCUUCUUCUACUUCACCUUUACCUGGGCAACCACCAGCACCAGCGCCCGCACCUGGUUGACAUUGCUUAUGGACAUUUCAAAAUGCUGAUAACGAGAGCCGCUUCCAAGUUAUGAGAUGGAAGCAAGUAAUGGUCGGACGAUGCAUUGACUUUGUAUCCCUAGAGAGAGUUGGAUUGGCUCAAGAUAUUCGUGCAUUAUUUGAUACAUUGCCUUACGCACGCUUCUUUGACAUCAUUGAGCCUACCUAUCGCGAGCCCACCAUUGAAUUCCUAAGCACCUUCUUCCCACAGCAACAUAUCACAAACUGGCAUAAGCUUGAUGCAGUUUACUUCAGACUUGGAGGAAGGGAGUUCUCAAUGUCAGUUCCACAGUUCGAGAUGCACUUGGGUUUAUGGACCGAGUAGGAGAUCUCAGGCGAGGAGAAUCAGGGAUGCAUCUACGUCCACCCUAUCUCGUACGACACUAUGUGUGAUUCAAUAGUACUCAGGCCAGAAUCAUACUAUCCCAGCAGGUCUAAGGCGUCUAGCCUUCUAGAUCAUUUCCACUAUCUUCAUACACUUUUAGCUUACACUAUUAUAGGCCGAGGAGAUAGUUUUGGAGCGAUCACACAGAACGAUGUAUUCAUUCUUUGGGCUAUGCAACACCAUAAGAAGCUUGACAUAUGGUAUUUAUUUGCUCGUCAAGUUCGUUCCUUCAUAGUCGAUGCUCAGAAGAAAAUGCAUUGCUGCUUUGGCCCGUAUAUGACUAGAUUGGCCAAGAGAUUGGAUGUACUGGACGAUUGUCUAGCCGAGCUUUCUCAGAUUGGUGACAUGACACCAUUAGGGGUUAGACAGGUUAUCAACAUGCAGAUGAUCAUGGCCACUCGAAACCCACAUGGCAUUGAGUACAGCCUUGUCAGUGCAAUAGUCAGGGAGGCUAGAGAGGCAGCAGCUCGAGGAGCUCAAGACCCUACUGCUGAGAUUCUGGAUGUUAGGAUUCCUAACCCAACCAAAGUAUUUAUGCCUAGAUCUGGAGCUUCCUCUUCUUACUAUGUAGGGACAUCGAGUGCUUAGAUUAGUGCUUUGGUUGACCGACUAGAUCGAGUUUGUGAUUUAC
Long non-coding RNA from Ricinus communis (castor bean), 4008 nucleotides. RefSeq lists it as uncharacterized. The transcript is spliced from 4 exons. The record is from RefSeq and is a predicted model, not a curated record. Lineage: Eukaryota; Viridiplantae; Streptophyta; Magnoliopsida; Malpighiales; Euphorbiaceae.